RNAcentral lists this ribosomal RNA (979 nucleotides) under Acinetobacter tandoii. Its description in RNAcentral is "bacterial SSU rRNA". It matches the Rfam family "Bacterial small subunit ribosomal RNA", at positions 57 to 1041 of the family's 1533-position model. Lineage: Bacteria; Pseudomonadati; Pseudomonadota; Gammaproteobacteria; Moraxellales; Moraxellaceae. The record is from RNAcentral.
GCAAGUCGAGCGGGGAGUCUCGUAACUGACCAAGCGCGGACGGUGAGUAAUGCUUAGGAAUCUGCCUAUUAGUGGGGACAACAUUCCGAAAGGAAUGCUAAUACCGCAUACGCCCUACGGGGGAAAGCAGGGGAUCUUCGGACCUGCGCUAUAGAUGAGCCUAAGUCGGAUUAGCUAGUUGGUGGGGUAAAGGCCUACCAAGGCGACGAUCUGUAGCGGGUCUGAGAGGAUGAUCCGCCACACUGGGACUGAGACACGGCCCAGACUCCUACGGGAGGCAGCAGUGGGGAAUAUUGGACAAUGGGCGGAAGCCUGAUCCAGCCAUGCCGCGUGUGUGAAGAAGGCCUUUUGGUUGUAAAGCACUUUAAGCGAGGAGGAGGCUACUGGUACUAAUACUACUGGAUAGUGGACGUUACUCGCAGAAUAAGCACCGGCUAACUCUGUGCCAGCAGCCGCGGUAAUACAGAGGGUGCGAGCGUUAAUCGGAUUUACUGGGCGUAAAGCGUGCGUAGGCGGCUGAUUAAGUCGGAUGUGAAAUCCCUGAGCUUAACUUAGGAAUUGCAUUCGAUACUGGUCAGCUAGAGUAUGGGAGAGGAUGGUAGAAUUCCAGGUGUAGCGGUGAAAUGCGUAGAGAUCUGGAGGAAUACCGAUGGCGAAGGCAGCCAUCUGGCCUAAUACUGACGCUGAGGUACGAAAGCAUGGGGAGCAAACAGGAUUAGAUACCCUGGUAGUCCAUGCCGUAAACGAUGUCUACUAGCCGUUGGGGCCUUUGAGGCUUUAGUGGCGCAGCUAACGCGAUAAGUAGACCGCCUGGGGAGUACGGUCGCAAGACUAAAACUCAAAUGAAUUGACGGGGGCCCGCACAAGCGGUGGAGCAUGUGGUUUAAUUCGAUGCAACGCGAAGAACCUUACCUGGUCUUGACAUAGUAAGAACUUUCCAGAGAUGGAUUGGUGCCUUCGGGAACUUACAUACAGGUGC